RNAcentral lists this ribosomal RNA (250 nucleotides) under uncultured bacterium. Its description in RNAcentral is "partial 16S ribosomal RNA". It matches the Rfam family "Bacterial small subunit ribosomal RNA", at positions 524 to 773 of the family's 1533-position model. The record is from RNAcentral.
UACGUAGGGAGCGAGCGUUGUCCGGAAUUACUGGGUGUAAAGGGAGCGUAGGCGGGGCGGCAAGUUGAAUGUGAAAUGCAUAGGCUUAACCUAUGAGCUGCGUUCAAAACUGUCGCUCUUGAGUGAAGUAGAGGCAGGCGGAAUUCCUAGUGUAGCGGUGAAAUGCGUAGAUAUUAGGAGGAACACCAGUGGCGAAGGCGGCCUGCUGGGCUUUAACUGACGCUGAGGCUCGAAAGCAUGGGGAGCAAAC